Molecule: transfer RNA, 73 nt
Organism: Camelus ferus (Wild Bactrian camel)
Lineage: Eukaryota; Metazoa; Chordata; Mammalia; Artiodactyla; Camelidae
Rfam family: tRNA
About the family: Transfer RNA (tRNA) molecules are approximately 80 nucleotides in length. Their secondary structure includes four short double-helical elements and three loops (D, anti-codon, and T loops). Further hydrogen bonds mediate the characteristic L-shaped molecular structure. tRNAs have two regions of fundamental functional importance: the anti-codon, which is responsible for specific mRNA codon recognition, and the 3' end, to which the tRNAs corresponding amino acid is attached (by aminoacyl-tRNA synthetases). tRNAs cope with the degeneracy of the genetic code in two manners: having more than one tRNA (with a specific anti-codon) for a particular amino acid; and 'wobble' base-pairing, i.e. permitting non-standard base-pairing at the 3rd anti-codon position.
Source: Rfam
GAGGGUAUAGUUCAAAUGGUGGAGCGCAUGCCUAGCAUGCACAAGGUCCUGGGUUCAAUCCCCAGUACCUCCU